CUGCGAUCCUUUCAGCAUGCUUCGUCUUCACUCAUCAAUUAGGAGGUCACCCAAUCGAAGAUUGGCCCAGACUUCGCCUUAUUGUCACUGCUCCUUCGUCGCUCGAUCACCAGUUCUUCUCCGUUCGGUCGCUGGUCCUUCGCCAUUUCGUCACUGCUUCUUCGCCGUGUCAUUGCCGUUCCGUGUGGGUCUCGCGACAGAUUUCAAUUAAGGACUUGAGUUUGAAGAAGAGGAGGAAAAGAUCAAAUAAAGAAGCAAAAGCGAGCCAAAUUCCAGUGCGUUGGGCGCCUAGAUGCAGAAAAUUGACAAAAUGGUAGAAUGUUGGGUUCCUAGGCGCUACAAAGUUGGAAGCGAAGUUUUUGUUGGCAUGCGUUUGGGCGCCUAGGCGCUCGUGACAAAAUUUUGUUAAAUAUCUCAUUUUAGCCCUAGCCGUGAAUGACAAAAAUAGAGGGGAAGAGACAUUUUUAAAUAGAAAAGUGGGGACUUUGAGAAGAUUGGAAGGAACGGAGGCUCGAGAGAUCACGGAUUUGUUUUCUUUCUCUUCUUCUUUCUCUCCUUUAGCUUCAAGUUCUUUCAAUGAUGUUGAUUGAUAUUUUCUUUUUGGAUUCAAGCAUGAACUAAAUAUAUUUUCUAGGGCAUUGAUGUAGCCUUUAUCAAA
This is a long non-coding RNA of Momordica charantia (bitter melon), 658 nucleotides long. RefSeq lists it as uncharacterized. The record is from RefSeq and is a predicted model, not a curated record. NCBI's taxonomy places the organism in Eukaryota, Viridiplantae, Streptophyta, Magnoliopsida, Cucurbitales, Cucurbitaceae.